GACGAACGCUGGCGGCGUGCUUAACACAUGCAAGUCGUACGGUAAGGCCCUUUCGGGGGUACACAAGUGGCGAACGGGUGAGUAACACGUGCGUAACCUGCCCACAACUUUGGGAUAACGCUAGGAAACUGGUGCUAAUACUGGAUAUGUGCCCCUGCUGCAUGGUGGGGGUUGGAAAGCUCCGGCGGUUGUGGAUGGACUCGCGGCCUAUCAGCUUGUUGGUGGGGUAGUGGCCUACCAAGGCGGCGACGGGUAGCCGGCCUGAGAGGGUGACCGGCCACAUUGGGACUGAGAUACGGCCCAGACUCCUACGGGAGGCAGCAGUGGGGAAGAUUGCACAAUGGGCGCAAGCCUGAUGCAGCAACGCCGCGUGCGGGAUGACGGCCUUGGGGUUGUAAACCGCUUUCAGCAGGGACGAAGCUUUUUGUGACGGUACCUGCAGAAGAAGCACCGGCUAACUACGUG
Molecule: ribosomal RNA, 465 nt
Filed under: uncultured bacterium
Lineage: Bacteria
Description: partial 16S ribosomal RNA
Rfam family: Bacterial small subunit ribosomal RNA
Source: RNAcentral